AUAAAGACAUAACGUAGUAGUGAUAUGGGACACUCCAUAAAACCCAUAACAUUUAUCAAUCUACUUCUGCAGGUACAAGCAAAGGAGUUAAUCGACCAAGAUACCAGAAUAUGAAUAUGAAUAAAAUAUUUGAAAAACCAUUUACACCAAAAACACAAAAAGACCACUUAUUCAUACCCCCACAAGUUAACACAUACCGAGAUAGCCUAAACCAAGACAAAAAAGUNN
RNAcentral lists this long non-coding RNA (228 nucleotides) under Capsicum annuum. RNAcentral's name for it is "long non-coding RNA (CANN_LNC008235)". The record is from RNAcentral. Lineage: Eukaryota; Viridiplantae; Streptophyta; Magnoliopsida; Solanales; Solanaceae.